UUCGGAGAGUUUGAUCAUGGCUCAGGACGAACGCUGGCGGUGUGCCUAAAACAUGCAAGUCGAACGGACCUUCGGGUCAGUGGCGAACGGCGGAGUAAUACAUGAGUAACGUGCCCUUCAGACGGGGAUAUACAGUCGAAAGACUGGGCAAUACCGGAUGAGAUGGCGAGGAGGCAUCUCCUUGUCAUGAAAUGGUUUUUCGCUGAAGGAGCGGCUCAUGACACAUCAGAUAGUUGGUGGGGUAACGGCCUACCAAG
This 257-nucleotide ribosomal RNA is filed under the name Armatimonadota bacterium. RNAcentral describes it as "Armatimonadetes bacterium (bioreactor sludge metagenome) partial 16S ribosomal RNA". It matches the Rfam family "Bacterial small subunit ribosomal RNA", at positions 1 to 272 of the family's 1533-position model. Lineage: Bacteria; Bacillati; Armatimonadota. The record is from RNAcentral.